This 490-nucleotide ribosomal RNA is filed under the name uncultured bacterium. RNAcentral describes it as "partial 16S ribosomal RNA". It matches the Rfam family "Bacterial small subunit ribosomal RNA", at positions 30 to 507 of the family's 1533-position model. The record is from RNAcentral.
AUUGAACGCUGGCGGCAGGCCUAACACAUGCAAGUCGAACGAUAACAGGAAGAAGCUUGCUUCUUUGCUGAAGCGUGGCGCGCGGGUGAGUCAUGUCUGGGAACCUGCUUGAUGGCGGGGGUUACUUACUGGAAACGGUGCCUAUUCCCGCAUAAAUUCGCAAGCCCAAAAAUGAGGACUUUAGGGCCGUUUUCCAUUGGAUUUGCCCAGAUGGGAUUAGCUAGUAGGUAGGGUAACGGCUCACCUAGGCGACGAUCCGUAGCUGGUAUGAGAGGUUGAUCAGCCACACUGGAACUGAGACACGGUCCAGACUCCUACGGGAGGCAGCAGUGGGGAAUAUUGCGCAAUGGGCGCAAGCCUGAUGGAGCCAUGCCGCGUGUAUGAAGAAGGCCUUCGGAUUGUAAAGCACUGUCAGCGGGGAGGAAGGAAGUAAAGUGAAUACAUGUACGCAUUGACGUUACCCGAAGAAGAAGCACCGGCUAACUCCGUG